Molecule: ribosomal RNA, 424 nt
Filed under: uncultured prokaryote
Description: bacterial SSU rRNA
Rfam family: Bacterial small subunit ribosomal RNA
Source: RNAcentral
UGGGGAAUUUUCCGCAAUGGGCGAAAGCCUGACGGAGCAACGCCGCGUGAGGGAGGAAGGCUUUUGGGUUGUAAACCUCUUUUCUCAAGGAAGAUAGUGACGGUACUUGAGGAAUCAGCAUCGGCUAACUCCGUGCCAGCAGCCGCGGUAAUACGGAGGAUGCAAGCGUUAUCCGGAAUAAUUGGGCGUAAAGCGUUCGUAGGUGGUUUUGUAAGUCUGCUGUUAAAGCGUGUAGCUCAACUACAUAUAGGCAGUGGAAACUACAAAACUUGAGUGCGUUCGGGGCAGAGGGAAUUCCUAGUGUAGCGGUGAAAUGCGUAGAGAUUAGGAAGAACACCAGUGGCGAAGGCGCUCAACUGGGCCGUAACUGACACUCAGGGACGAAAGCUAGGGUAGCGAAAGGGAUUAGAUACCCCCGUAGUCC